This 1817-nucleotide long non-coding RNA is filed under the name Mytilus galloprovincialis (Mediterranean mussel). The record is from RNAcentral. Lineage: Eukaryota; Metazoa; Mollusca; Bivalvia; Mytilida; Mytilidae.
AUAUUUUUUUAUUAGGUUUUGAAAUUUUGAUCUAAUGCAAGAUUUUGUUUUGUUUCUUUGAGUUAUGUUACAUAUUCUCUUUGCAUUCUCACAAAUUUUAUUGGAUACAAGAUUUACAAUAAUAACAGACCAUUGUACUUCGAUCAUUUUAUCAAUUGAAUGCUGUUAUUCUUGCAAAUGAAUUGAACAAUUUGCAGUGUAAAUACACUUCAAAUCUGUAAAUACUGAUAGGACUGCUAGACCACCAUAUAUUACUUGGCUUUUGAAAACAAUCAUAGUCUUUUUGAUGGCAUUACUGAGAUUGUUAUUGGUGCUUCCUGUAUAAAGCCAUGAUGGCAUUUGAUAUUGAUAUAAGUAUUAGUAGCCAUUCAUACCUGCCAACUGUUCAAAAUGCCCAUGGGGGUUUUGCAUUCAAGAUGGUUGACAUAGUCCUAAAAAACCUUCAAGCGGGCCUGCAAAUACAUUUUAAUGUUGUUUUUUUGGCUUCUUCAUACUUCUAUAAGCCUAAAGUCAUUGUAAAAUUAAUUGUUUUGUUUAAAUUGUGGACAAAAUUGCUCUUUCAAAAUUUCAAUUUGGGAGCCUCCAUAGGGGAAAUCCCCUGCAAAUAGUGACAGUUGGAAGGUAUGGCCAUUAUCACAUUAUGACAGUGCCUUAUUCAUUGAGCUAAAAAAUAAAACAAGAUUUAUCAAUCCUGUAUUCUAAAGUCUUAUAACUAUCUCAGACCUUUUCUUCCUUGAUAAUAUACACUUCAUUGUCCUUAUACAUGUAAGAACCUAACUCAUUCUUGUAACAUUCUUAAAAAUGUACACAAAAACAUUGUGAUUGGGUUUUAAACUUCCUAUACAAUGGAAAUUCAACCAAUGAUAUGACAUUAUUAUCAUUUUUGGGGUACAAACGAUCAAAAACUAUUAAAUUACCCAUAGUCCUUUAGUUUCUGAAACAGUUAAAUUAAAUGAAUGUGAAAUAUUGUUGCAGGCCUAUGUAUCAGAAAAAAACUUGUGUAAAACCAAAUUGUUUGUUUUGGUUGUAAGCUAUUUAUGACUGGUUGUAAGGCAGCAACCAUUUGAUUUUCUGGGGGGGGGGGGGGGGGGGCUAUGGUUUUUUUUGGAAAAAAAAGUUUGUUUCCAGUUUUUGGAGAAAAAAAUAAUUUGUUUUUGAUUCUGAGAAAAACAAAUUGUUUGUUUCACCCUACAGCUGCCACUAUAUGUAAUGCUAAAAUUAAAAGAAAAAAAAUGUUUUCCACUUGUCGCGAAAAAAAUAGAUUGUUUUUCGCCACAGACGAAAACAAAAAUUUGUCCAGAAAAAAAAACCAUAGCCCCCCCAGAAAAUCAAAUGGUUGCUGCCUAAGUAAAACAAUGGUUAGGUAACACUAGCCUGUUUUCAUUUAAUUCAAAUAUGAUUGUUUUUGUCUUGCCUUCUAUAUAUCUUAUGGCAUUGAUAUAUCUUUAUGCUCCAUUGCUAACAAAAUGUUGUAUGUGUAUUUAUUAUAAUAUAAGGAGUAAUUGACUUGUAACUAUACGAAUGUCAGUUGGCCUUGACCUCAAUGGCAUAAUCUACUGAUCUUCUCAAUAAUUGAUAUACUGGUGUUCAGUUAAAACAGUUGACAGGCCAGAAGUUUUUGUGUCAAUCUUUGUCAAAUUUAUGCAGGCACUUAAUAUUUUCUUUUUUCUUUGUUUUGUUAAAAAAAAAUCUAUUUCUAUUGUUACAAAAUCUUGUAAAUAUGUAUAUAAAAGUUCAUUAACAAAAUUGUACUCAUUUUACUUGUUAAUGUAUUGUGUGUUAGAUUAGUAAUUAAUGUUAGUCAAAAUAACUUCUAG